Molecule: ribosomal RNA, 439 nt
Filed under: uncultured bacterium
Lineage: Bacteria
Description: partial 16S ribosomal RNA
Rfam family: Bacterial small subunit ribosomal RNA
Source: RNAcentral
CCUACGGGGGGCUGCAGUAGGGAAUAUUGCUCAAUGGGGGAAACCCUGAAGCAGCAACGCCGCGUGGAGGAUGAAGGUUUUCUGAUUGUAAACUCCUUUUGUUAGAGAAGAUAAUGACGGUAUCUAACGAAUACGCCCCGGCUACCUCCGUUCCAGCAGCCGCGGUAAUACGGAGGAUGCGAGCGUUAUCCGGAUUUAUUGGGUUUAAAGGGUGCGUAGGCGGACAGUCAAGUCAGCGGUAAAAAUGCGGUGCUCAACGCCGUACAGCCGUUGAAACUGGCAGUCUUGAGUGGGCGAGAAGUAUGCGGAAUGCGUGGUGUAGCGGUGAAAUGCAUAGAUAUCACGCAGAACUCCGAUUGCGAAGGCAGCAUACCGGCGCCCGACUGACGCUGAGGCACGAAAGCGUGGGUAUCGAACAGGAUUAGAUACCCGUGUAGUC